RNAcentral lists this ribosomal RNA (373 nucleotides) under uncultured organism. RNAcentral describes it as "partial 16S ribosomal RNA". It matches the Rfam family "Bacterial small subunit ribosomal RNA", at positions 527 to 896 of the family's 1533-position model. The record is from RNAcentral.
GUAGGUGGCAAGCGUUGUCCGGAAUUAUUGGGCGUAAAGCGCGCGCAGGCGGUCCUUUAAGUCUGAUGUGAAAGCCCACGGCUCAACCGUGGAGGGUCAUUGGAAACUGGGGGACUUGAGUACAGAAGAGGAAAGCGGAAUUCCAAGUGUAGCGGUGAAAUGCGUAGAGAUUUGGAGGAACACCAGUGGCGAAGGCGGCUUUCUGGUCUGUAACUGACGCUGAGGCGCGAAAGCGUGGGGAGCAACCAGGGAUUAGAUACCCUGGUAGUCCACGCCGUAAACGAUGAGUGCUAAGUGUUAGGGGGUUUCCCGCCCCUUAGUGCUGCAGCUAACGCAUUAAGCACUCCGCCUGGGGAGUACGGCCGCAAGGCUG